RNAcentral lists this ribosomal RNA (625 nucleotides) under Streptococcus agalactiae. RNAcentral describes it as "bacterial SSU rRNA". It matches the Rfam family "Bacterial small subunit ribosomal RNA", at positions 1 to 609 of the family's 1533-position model. Lineage: Bacteria; Bacillati; Bacillota; Bacilli; Lactobacillales; Streptococcaceae. The record is from RNAcentral.
UUAAUGAGAGUUUGAUCCUGGCUCAGGACGAACGCUGGCGGCGUGCCUAAUACAUGCAAGUAGAACGCUGAGGUUUGGUGUUUACACUAGACUGAUGAGUUGCGAACGGGUGAGUAACGCGUAGGUAACCUGCCUCAUAGCGGGGGAUAACUAUUGGAAACGAUAGCUAAUACCGCAUAAGAGUAAUUAACACAUGUUAGUUAUUUAAAAGGAGCAAUUGCUUCACUGUGAGAUGGACCUGCGUUGUAUUAGCUAGUUGGUGAGGUAAAGGCUCACCAAGGCGACGAUACAUAGCCGACCUGAGAGGGUGAUCGGCCACACUGGGACUGAGACACGGCCCAGACUCCUACGGGAGGCAGCAGUAGGGAAUCUUCGGCAAUGGACGGAAGUCUGACCGAGCAACGCCGCGUGAGUGAAGAAGGUUUUCGGAUCGUAAAGCUCUGUUGUUAGAGAAGAACGUUGGUAGGAGUGGAAAAUCUACCAAGUGACGGUAACUAACCAGAAAGGGACGGCUAACUACGUGCCAGCAGCCGCGGUAAUACGUAGGUCCCGAGCGUUGUCCGGAUUUAUUGGGCGUAAAGCGAGCGCAGGCGGUUCUUUAAGUCUGAAGUUAAAGGCAGUGGCU